CUUUUUUUUUUUUUUUCCUCUCACGCCCGAAAUCUUCCUUGUGAGAUCCUUUGCCCUAACCGCUCGGCGGCGAUUUCUUCUUCCUCCUCUCCUCUGCCGACGCCGGCGACCAUCCUCUUCCCUAGUUUCUGCCGUCGACGAUGAGAGCUACCGCCGACCCUCUGACGCCGCUUCUCCAUAGGCGAGCACGCCGACGCCACAGCCGAACCACCGCAAGCACGUCUGUGCCCUAGGGCCGGCGCCACCGUCGACCACCCGGAGCCCUAGCCCUUGCCGUGGAGUUCCUAGCGCCGGCUGCUACUUUUUGUGCCCUAACCGAGUCCCUUCCAGUUGCGGCUGUUACCCUUUUUCCUUUAGCCGACGUCAGCCACUCGAGUAGCGCUGGCCACCCCCGAUUCCGGCACCCGAGUACACUGUUGGGGUUCUUCCGUGCCGUAGCACUGCCUCCGACCAUAUCUUUUCUCUGGUUUCUGGUGAUCAAGAAGGGUUUCAGUGAGUGAGGAGGUUUGCCAGCAUCUACUUCUUCCGGCAACAAUCCACUUUGACUGUGGGUUGAGCGGUAUCACAGCGUAUACCUCCGACCUUGAUCAACUGAGGAAUCCCUAUUUCUUGGUGAGUUUUUGUGUUCAUUUUGAUGGUUGAAUAAUUAGGGAUAUUGACUUCAAUGUAGGAGCCAUUGCUAUGAGUGUGUUGAUCAUUUUGUCGAUGAUUGACAGAUAGGUUAAUAACUAAUGUUAACCUAGGUAUAUGUGUUGAAUUAAGGAAUGGAUAUGAGUAUUAAAUAGUUUUGGAGAUUUUUAUUUAGCUAUAUAGCUAAAUACAUUGUCUGU
Molecule: long non-coding RNA, 830 nt
Organism: Zingiber officinale
Lineage: Eukaryota; Viridiplantae; Streptophyta; Magnoliopsida; Zingiberales; Zingiberaceae
Exons: 3
Source: RefSeq, a predicted model, not a curated record